UGUAAAUGUUGUUAGUGUUUGUGUAAGAAUGAAUACAAAUGAUGAUUUUAUAUGUCAUAAAAAUAAAUUAAAAUACAAUGCACAUGCAAAGUUACAUGUAGAAAUGAAGGUAAAAUUCCGAAAACACUAACUCACAUAAUAUCAUGAGAACGUUCUUCUUCUGUUGUUGAAGAUUUUUUUAUGUCAGUUCUCUUGGUCUUGAUAAGUAUGCAUGAACCUUACUUGGUAACUAUAGUUUUCAUUAUUGAAAUACUUAUGCAUCUUACAAUCUUACAAUGUGUUGCAUGUUUGUAAAUGGCAUAAUAGGGAGAAUCUAUCAUGUG
Long non-coding RNA from Octopus sinensis (East Asian common octopus), 323 nucleotides. RefSeq lists it as uncharacterized. NCBI's taxonomy places the organism in Eukaryota, Metazoa, Mollusca, Cephalopoda, Octopoda, Octopodidae. The record is from RefSeq and is a predicted model, not a curated record. The transcript is spliced from 3 exons.